UGCCCAGACCUCCAGAAAUCAUGUGUCCAGCUCGGAUUGCCUUAGACAGGUGCAAUUUGAAAACAGUUUUCAUCUUCUUUUCUGUCAUGUUGGUACACUGUGGGUUCUGACUUCUGGCUCCUUUUCUCACAAGAAGCUCACCCAGCCGUCACUCUUACGGGACCUUGGCACCAGAGACCACCAAUUCCUCUUUGAAGUUUUCUAGCAGCAACAGUGAUAUUUCUGACUUGGCUUUCUUGUAUUUCUCUCACGUUAACAAAAUUGGUUGAGCAUCUACCAUGGGCUACAUAGGAGCUACAGGUGCUGUUGAUGAAACUGCUAAAGGAGCUGAAUGUGACUGACGUCUUUGGAAGGAUGAGACUUAGCAUGCCCGUACAGUUGUGUCUAAACGUUGUCCUUACCUCCCAAAGGAAAGAUGGAUAAACAGAGGCAACCCGAGGAUAAAGGCCUUUCCCAGUGUCACACAUUUCAGUCACUAAAAAAGACACAAUGGAUGCCAGUCUUCUCAUCAAAUAAACAGCCUUCAAGCUCUUGCAGUCAACAAGAACUUUUGGAAUGAUUUCACUGCCUGAAAAGGCAGAUAUAUAGAUGACAUCCACAAAUAGAAAGAAAAUCAACCUGAACCUUAGUGUCUGGCAUCACUGACUCUAAGCAGUAGAGACAGAAGCAAAGUAAAGUUUUAGUAAAGAAGGGUCUGAAAGAAAAUACAUUUAGUAUAGCUAGUUAUUAAGUGCUGUUUUCACACAGUAAACAAAGGCAAAAUUACUCUUCUUUAAGUAGUAAUUUUUAACUCUUGAUUAAAUCAUUCACUCGUUCAUUUAAUAAAUACUUACAGAUUGCCUUCUAUGUGUUGAACACUCAUCUCUGUGCUGGAAACAUAAUGAUCAUGAAAGUUGACAAUAGUAAUAACAAUAAUAGCCAAUAUAGCAGAUACUAAUAAUUAUUUGUUGAGUGAAAUGUCAAAAUUCAGUGUGAACCAGCAUUGUCUUUGGGGCUGCAUCCAUUGGCUAUAAUAUAGCUAAUCUAUCUGAAAUUUUCCAGCUUUGGGUCUCUCUAAUAGAAGAAGCUGUUGCUGGGCCUGCCUUUGGUUGGCGAUGCACACACCAAAGAGAAUGAAUUAUCAUCACUCCUCCUGUAAAGAACGCUGGAACUGAGAGCACUGCAAUUUUCUUUUACUGUGGUAGUUUUAAUCACUAGAACCAACUUUACUUCGUUUCCUACUUACCAAAACAGUAAAAACAACAUGUAACAUAAAAGAAAUGCCAUCUUAAUAUUGUUUUGAUGACAAAACAGUGUUCCUUUCAGUUGUGCUUCAAAUGGAAUAAGACAC
Long non-coding RNA from Saimiri boliviensis boliviensis (Bolivian squirrel monkey), 1330 nucleotides. RefSeq lists it as uncharacterized. The record is from RefSeq and is a predicted model, not a curated record. Lineage: Eukaryota; Metazoa; Chordata; Mammalia; Primates; Cebidae.